GAUGAAGAACGUAGCGAAAUGCGAUAAGUAAUGUGAAUUGCAGAAUUCAGUGAAUCAUCGAAUCUUUGAACGCACAUUGCGCCCGCCAGUAUUCUGGCGGGCAUGCCUGGUCGAGCGUCAUUUCAACCAUCAAGCCCUGCUUGCGUUGGGGUCCUGCGGCUGCCCGCAGGCCCUGAAAACCAGUGGCGGGCUCGCUAGUCACACCGAGCGCAGUAAUACAUCUCGCUUUGGGCGUGCGGCGGGUUCUUGCCGUUAAACACCCCCUUUUUACCAAGGUUGACCUCGGAUCAGGUAGGAAUACCCGCUGAACUUAAGCAUAUCAAUAAGCGGAGGA
This 334-nucleotide unclassified non-coding RNA is filed under the name soil metagenome. Its description in RNAcentral is "partial contains 5.8S ribosomal RNA, internal transcribed spacer 2, and large subunit ribosomal RNA". The stretch from base 1 to 120 matches the Rfam family "5.8S ribosomal RNA", at positions 35 to 154 of the family's 154-position model. The record is from RNAcentral.